This 753-nucleotide ribosomal RNA is filed under the name Escherichia coli. Its description in RNAcentral is "partial 23S ribosomal RNA". It matches the Rfam family "Bacterial large subunit ribosomal RNA", at positions 993 to 1748 of the family's 2925-position model. The record is from RNAcentral. Lineage: Bacteria; Pseudomonadati; Pseudomonadota; Gammaproteobacteria; Enterobacterales; Enterobacteriaceae.
GGGUGCUAACGUCCGUCGUGAAGAGGGAAACAACCCAGACCGCCAGCUAAGGUCCCAAAGUCAUGGUUAAGUGGGAAACGAUGUGGGAAGGCCCAGACAGCCAGGAUGUUGGCUUAGAAGCAGCCAUCAUUUAAAGAAAGCGUAAUAGCUCACUGGUCGAGUCGGCCUGCGCGGAAGAUGUAACGGGGCUAAACCAUGCACCGAAGCUGCGGCAGCGACACUGUGUGUUGUUGGGUAGGGGAGCGUUCUGUAAGCCUGUGAAGGUGUGCUGUGAGGCAUGCUGGAGGUAUCAGAAGUGCGAAUGCUGACAUAAGUAACGAUAAAGCGGGUGAAAAGCCCGCUCGCCGGAAGACCAAGGGUUCCUGUCCAACGUUAAUCGGGGCAGGGUGAGUCGACCCCUAAGGCGAGGCCGAAAGGCGUAGUCGAUGGGAAACAGGUUAAUAUUCCUGUACUUGGUGUUACUGCGAAGGGGGGACGGAGAAGGCUAUGUUGGCCGGGCGACGGUUGUCCCGGUUUAAGCGUGUAGGCUGGUUUUCCAGGCAAAUCCGGAAAAUCAAGGCUGAGGCGUGAUGACGAGGCACUACGGUGCUGAAGCAACAAAUGCCCUGCUUCCAGGAAAAGCCUCUAAGCAUCAGGUAACAUCAAAUCGUACCCCAAACCGACACAGGUGGUCAGGUAGAGAAUACCAAGGCGCUUGAGAGAACUCGGGUGAAGGAACUAGGCAAAAUGGUGCCGUAACUUCGGGAGAAGGCA